CCUACGGGUGGCAGCAGUGGGGGAUAUUGCACAAUGGGGGGAACCCUGAUGCAGCGACGCCGCGUGGGUGAAGGAGCGUUUCGGCGCGUAAAGCCCUAUCGGCAGGGAAGAAAGUGACGGUACCUUAGGAAUAAGCCUCGGCUAACUACGUGCCAGCAGCCGCGGUAAUACGUAGGAGGCGAGCGUUAUCCGGAAUGACUGGGCGUAAAGGGUGCGUAGGUGGUUUGGCAAGUUAGUAGCGUAACUCCAAGGCUCAACCUUGGAACUACUACUAAAACUGUUGGACUUGAGUGCAGGAGGGGCAACCGGAAUUCCUAGUGUAGCGGUGGAAUGCGUAGAUAUUAGGAGGAACACCAGUGGCGAAGGCGGGUUGCUAGACUGUAACUGACACUGAGGCACGAAAGCGUGGGGAGCAAACAGGAUUAGAUACCCUUGUAGUC
This 440-nucleotide ribosomal RNA is filed under the name uncultured bacterium. RNAcentral's name for it is "partial 16S ribosomal RNA". It matches the Rfam family "Bacterial small subunit ribosomal RNA", at positions 338 to 795 of the family's 1533-position model. The record is from RNAcentral.